UAACACGUAGGGGGCGAGCGUUGUCCGGAUUUAUUGGGCGUAAAGAGCUCGUAGGCGGUUCCGUCAGUCGGGUGUGAAAACUCUGGGCUCAACCCAGAGACGCCACCCGAUACUGCGGUGACUAGAGUCCGGUAGGGGAGUGCGGAAUUCCUGGUGUAGCGGUGAAAUGCGCAGAUAUCAGGAGGAACACCAACGGCGAAGGCAGCACUCUGGGCCGGUACUGACGCUGAGGAGCGAAAGCGUGGGGAGCGAACAGGAUUAGAUACCCUGGUAGUCCACGCCGUAAACGUUGGGCACUAGGUGUGGGACCUUUCCAACGGGUUCCGUGCCGCAGCUAACGCAUUAAGUGCCCCGCCUGGGGAGUACGGCCGCAAGGCUA
This 379-nucleotide ribosomal RNA is filed under the name uncultured bacterium. RNAcentral's name for it is "bacterial SSU rRNA". It matches the Rfam family "Bacterial small subunit ribosomal RNA", at positions 521 to 896 of the family's 1533-position model. The record is from RNAcentral.